UACGUAGGAUGCAAGCGUUGUCCGGAAUUAUUGGGCGUAAAGAGCUCGUAGGCGGCUUGAUAAGUCGGAUGUGAAACCUCCAGGCUCAACCUGGAGUCGCCAUCCGAUACUGUCAUGGCUAGAGUCCGGUAGGGGCCCACGGAAUUCCUGGUGUAGCGGUGAAAUGCGCAGAUAUCAGGAGGAACACCGGUGGCGAAGGCGGUGGGCUGGGCCGGCACUGACGCUGAGGAGCGAAAGCGUGGGGAGCGAACAGG
This 254-nucleotide ribosomal RNA is filed under the name uncultured bacterium. RNAcentral's name for it is "partial 16S ribosomal RNA". It matches the Rfam family "Bacterial small subunit ribosomal RNA", at positions 524 to 776 of the family's 1533-position model. The record is from RNAcentral.